GCUUUUCAAAAAUAUUAUCUUUCUGGUAAAAAUUAAAAUUAUUUUUCUGCAAAAUAUUUUCUUAUUGAUGAAUCACAUCUUAAGUAUUCUUGCAGUCAAAAACAUUUGCUUUCAUCCUUAUUUAUUUCUGCAUUAAAUGAAAGCAAGCUGAGAUGUGGGGAAUUGCUUUGACGGAAGGCAUUUUCUGAAAUCUGUGUAUUGCUUAAAUUCCAUUCCAGAUCUGUUUCAGACUUACCCAAAUUGAACGAAACCUGCAAAGUGUUUGAAUUUCACCCAUCACUGCUGUUAAUCCCUCUUUUCUUCCUGUCACAAAAGAAGAAAGGUUUCAUCUGUGUCCCUGGGAGGCAUCAGAAAGAUGAAGCUCCCUCCUUUAUCCCACAUUUAAUUUUUUCGAGAAGAUUCAGCUUCCAGGAUGCUCAGUUACUGCACAGUGAAUCUCCCCCUGCUAAGCAUGGAAAGAUGAGAGGAGUGGUAUCUACAUCAGCAAGCUGUUGGUAUGUGUAAAAGUGAAAAGUGAGGCUGGAAAUCAGAAUUAAAAUCCACUUUGGCCCUGGCUGGUUUGUUGUCACAGAAAUUCAAUGUCACUGUGACCUUACACCAUUAGGAAGAGCUGUAGCACCCCUGAGAAAAGUCACAGCAGCUAUCCCAGGAGAAACUGUUCCAGAGUAGAAUCCCAGAAUCCCAGAAGUGACAUUAAAGAUCAUCUCCUUCCAACCCUCAUGCUAUGGGCAGGGACACUUUUCACAAAAUCAGGUGUCUCGGAGCCCCAUCCAGCCUGGCUUUGAGCACUUUCAAAUACGGCAUGUCCACAGCUUCUCUGGUCUAGGAACCAGCUUGACUUUAGCCAUAUCUGAAGAUUCCCAGGUUUUUCUAUACACCAUUGAGCUGCUGUUUCCAGAGCUCUAAGCUGCCACCUGACACCCAGCAGGAAUGCCAAGACUGUCUUCUCAGUCUGCAUCACAGAGGGAAACUCAGAGUCUUCCCAGGCAAAAACGGUCUUGACAUGACUUCACAGUACAAAAAAGUUCAAAAGGUUUUGUUUUCACUCCAAGGCAGAUCCAAAACACAUUUUGAAACUUUGAAAGUCAUCAUAAAAUGUCACUGUCUUCCUGCCAGCUACAGUCAGCUGGUUGGGCUGCAGAAAAAAAGAGUUGAGUUGCUGUAAAACACCCAAAACAGAGGAGAGCACAAUUUUGUUUACAGUGACCCAAACUUCUAAAACUCUUCUUGAAAUGAAAACCCACUAAGGACUGUUCUCAAUUAAUGGGACAUUUGUGAGCACAACCACACGUAGACAAGCUGGGGCUGGUCCUAGUCCACACUGUAAGGGGGCAGCUGCUUUGAAUUCUGUUUGUUAAAGUGGCUGAAGGC
Long non-coding RNA from Parus major (Great Tit), 1371 nucleotides. The record is from Ensembl. NCBI's taxonomy places the organism in Eukaryota, Metazoa, Chordata, Aves, Passeriformes, Paridae.